GAAAACACAAGCUUGACUGUCACAAUUUAAAAAUAAAAAAAUAUGGGAAAAGUGCGGGUGUGGAACCCUAUUACCGGGAAAAGAGUGUGUGUU
Molecule: long non-coding RNA, 93 nt
Organism: Melanotaenia boesemani (Boeseman's rainbowfish)
Lineage: Eukaryota; Metazoa; Chordata; Actinopteri; Atheriniformes; Melanotaeniidae
Exons: 4
Source: RefSeq, a predicted model, not a curated record